UAGUCUUCAUAUUACCUUCUAAAGAUUCUUCCAAGAUUAAUGGAGAAAAAGGUAGAAGACUGUCUGCUGGAAAGAUUAAAUAUGAAGACCUAUUUAUAGACACAAGUUAGGAAAAAAGAAACUGAAGGAAUGAUACUUGGUUGGAUUUAUGGGAAUUUUUAUAAGACUCUCCCAUUUCAAAAACUUAAAAAUAUGAAAGAUUUCAUUUUAUCAUAUGAUUACAAUUUUACAUUGACAGUAUUUGGGGUAUGCUUUACACUUUUACCUUAAAAAAGAUCAAAUAUUAGUGAAAGGCACAAAAUAUAAAGGGAAAAGCCACCCAAUUCCCAAAUUCCCUAAACAACCAUGUUAACAUUUGAUGUAAACCAUUCUAAACAUAUUUCUCUGCAUAUACAGGUACACAUACACACGUAGUGAGAAAGAUAAAUAAUUCUAUGUUGCUUAUAAGAAAACUGGCUCUAAGUACUAAAAAUGAAUCACCCAUGGUCACUCAACUAAUAAAAGUGGCAGAGUUGAGAUGCAGACUCUUCUAACUUUAAAUCACCUUUUCCCCACUGUUAUGUCUUUUUAUAUAUGGUAUCCACUCGUUCCAGGCUCAUUCACCUGUUACUCCUUGAGGAUUACUCACAUCUGGCAUGGUGCAGCCACACAGAUAGGCACAUACACAUAAUCCCUGAUAAAAAAGACAAUUGUCUUGCUUCCUUCAAGCUGCUAUGACAAAAUACCAUCGACUGGGUGGUUCAUACAACAAACAACUAUUUCUCACACUUCUGGAGACCUCAGAGUCCAAGACCAAGGCUCUGGCAGAUUUGGUGUCUGGAGCAGGCCCUCUUUCGGGUUGCAGACGGCUGACUUCUCCCUGUGUACUCACGUGGCAGAAGGGAGAAGGCAGCCCUCUGAGGUCUCGUUCAUCAGGGCACUAACCCUGUUCAUGAGCAGCCCACCCUUAUGACCUAAUCACCUCCCAAAGGCCUCCCCACCUAAUUCCAUCACGUUGAGGAUUAGGUUUCAACAUAAUGAACUUUGAGAGGACAUGAACAUUCAGCCUCUAGCAAUAGUCCUCUCCUUGCCUUUCCAUUUACCUCAAGGCAGAUAAGAAUUAGCCUACUGGCAAGAAUUAAGUAAUCUGUACCUUUCCUACUCUUACAUGCCCAUGCUCAGUAAGCCAAGAGGAGUCAAAGUCCUGGGCACACAGCCCAUACCGACCGCAGUUGGCGCCAUUCUUUGUUUCUAAAGCCAGUGCAACAGACCUUAGCUGUUUCAUCCUGGGCAUUUGAGGAGUCUUUGUGGUGGGUGGGGAUGGAUGGCAGUACAGCAGCGCUCUGGGACUCUGCUAUUAGAGCAAGUGUCUACUUCCCAAGGAAGCGUUCAGGCUAACUACAGGGUCUGCAAGAGCCAUGCCCCUGGAGGGUGGGAAGUGGGGGCACUGAGCUAAUUGAGGGCCAUUGCAAAACAAAGGGGGGCAGAGGGAUGUAUAGAUCAGACACUACACAGAAGAGUCAAUGCUAGGUCUAUGGCUACAGUUAAAUAUUAGACAUUUUUAGGUUUUAGUGACAUUUAUGAUUAAAAACGUCAGAAUUAGAAAGUUAUUUUCUAAGACGCUUCAACAAAAUGAGUAAUUCACAUAUACUUAGAGCGGUUGAAAGAAAUCAUUGUUCAGUGGGAAACUACUAACACCAAGAAACGCUGUACUAUUAGUGAAAAGGCAAUAGCGUUUCUGUGAAGAUACUCACAAAAUCUGAGUUAGGAAAUAAAAAAGUGUGAAAGCAACCAGGGGCUUCAUUUAUUUAGUCCUUCGUCACGUCUGUGUGGUGAGAAAGUGAGAAAGUCAUAGCCUAGACUCUGAGUCCAGGUUCCAGGGGGAGAUCUGCCAACGAGAUGUUAUGGCACAAUGGGCAUCACUUAUUUCUUCAGGUACUUCUUACCCAAGAGUUCUGAGGCAGUCUUAUACCAUGAGAUAUUUUGUAGGAAAUGAUUCUAGAAUCAAGUAAGUUUGGAAAACUCUGCAUAAUAGAUCUCACUUCUUGGAAAAGGCUCAGAAAAAUUCUGCUGGUGUUUCUAAAUCUAACCUGACUGCAGGAUACUUUCUUCAUAUAAUAUCUGGAGCAAAAUUUGGAAAAUACCAUUAGAUAUUUGCCUUACAAACCCUGCUGUGGGGACUCCGUCCAGGUGAGGGGCCUGGAUCAGUUGUGAAGCUGGCAAGUCUAGUCUUGAGAGAGAAGAGGCACUGUGGUCUCUGUGUAUUUUGCUUAGACCCAUAGUUAACCUUGGCUCUCAAAGCUUACCUUUUUGAGAGAGUUAAGAAGAAGGCAGAAAAAUAAAACCAAAGAAAAAAGUCUAGUGACAGUUUUCUCCUUAAAGCCUCUGCUGGCCAGUGUAUAUGUCUAUUCCUAGGCUGACUCACAGCAGCCUGGACCCUGCUCCCCACAUCACAGUACCCACCCCAUUGCACUGUGAUGCACAGUCUCCUUGACUUGGGUCCCUAUCAGAAAAUGAUGAGUUGGGGUACCAUUAAGAAAGCAUUGGCCCAAACAUCCAGGAAUCCCUGAAUCCAUCAUCCCUGUGGGAGGUAUAAGCUCGUGUGUACCCACCCUCACACGGUCUCUCUCUCUCUCUCUCUCUCACACACACACACACACACACACACACACACACACACACACCCUAAAAUACCAGAGUGAGAGAAUGGCAAUCACCUCCUGGAGCUUUCAUUUUAAAGCUGCAGUGCAACACACUAGUGUACCGACUGGACCCCCCCAGACUCAGGCUGCCAGAGGAGCCUAGAAUGGGAAGCAAUCCAAAGACCUCUGUCUACUUCUGUCUCGGAGCCUGAAUCCAGAUCCUGACUCUCGCCUCUGCAACACAAAGGCCAGAGCACCUCAGCUGGUGUGAAGAACCAAAAGAGAAGCAGCAAGUUUGAUCUGGAGUCUGGCAAGGUGCUCCCCUAGGCCAUCUCCCCAGUCCUGAUAGCAGAAUGGGAGAAGGCUCACAGGCAGAGGACCCUCCUGGGGGAGCUGCCUCCAGUCUCAUCUCAUUUCACAAGGGAGAAGAAAGAAGGGCAGGGAGACCCUGGCCUUUCUCCUGCAGGGGGCCAUCUGGGAAGCCGGCUAUAGUGGCCAAAGUGAGCUUAAUCCGCCCAUCCUCCAGCAGCUGGCCUCGUCCUGGGAGAGGAAUGGAGAUGGAAGUGAGGACAAAUACAGGUGGGAGGACAGCCCCUCCUCCACCAGAGUCCACAGGACCUUUCUUUCUUUUUUUUUUUUUAAUUUAUUUAUUUAUUUGGUGGCGCUGGGUCUUAGUUGCGGCAGGUGGGCUCCUUAGUUGCGGCUCACGUGCCCCUUUGUUGUGGCUCGCUGGCUCCUUAGUUGUGGCACAUGUGCUCCUUAGUUGCAGCCAGCAUUCUCCUUUGUUGCAGCUUGCUGCCUCCUUAGUUGCGGUAUGUGUGCUCCUUAGUUGCAGCCAGCAGGCUCCCUAGUUGCGGCUCAUGGGCUCCUUAGUUGCGGCACACGAACUCUUAGUUGUGUCAUGCAUGUGGGAUCUUCCUGGACCAGGGCUCGAACCUGUGUCCCCUGCAUUGGCAGGCGGACUGUUAACCACUGCACCACCAGGGAAGUCCUUUAAGUUACCUAUUUAACUUCUCUUGGUCAAGGCUAAUGAAGACAUAUUAAUGAAAUUAAUUUAAAAUAGCAAAUAUCUGAUUCCUUUUUUCUUUGUAAAAUUGGUUCAAUAACAAAGCAGUUUAAAUGCCCAGUGAUGGUUGAUUUAUUCUCAAUUACUGGAUUUACCUGGCUGCAGGUUAACUGGUUUGGUUUGCAGACUAUCCUAACAGCGCAUGAAGAGAGAUUAUUUUCCUCCCUAGAGAGAUUUUCUCCCAGAGAGCCUCAGUGAUUGAGAGACAGCUGAUAAGAUCUGGUGGUAGAUAUCUCAGUGGGAGGAGCUGUCUUGAUUAAAUCAGGAGCAUGAAACCUGGAGCAUUCCUCUCCUCCCCCAUCAGAUCACCAAGCCCUAAAGCUUGCUUCUUCCUGCUGCAGAAGAGUCAAUGCACUAAUCAGGACGACCUUAUUACUAAACCCACUGCAGCCAACCUUCCCUAGAAAGUGACAAUAUCACAGGUGACUGUAACACCUUAACCAGAUUUAGUCUACAAACCAGUUAACCUACAUUGGAUUAAUAAGGAAUUUAUUACAGUUUGAGGUGGCUUUUUUUUUUUUUAACUGACCUAUAACACACAUAUAGUAAAAUGCCCAAAACUAAGUGUUUUAUACCUCAGGGAACUUUUACAUAUGUAGCCACCAACCACAUCAAGAUAUAGACCUUUUGUGUCGCUCCAGAGGCUGCUUCAUACUCCUUCUCAACACCCACACCCCACAAGGAACCCCACAAGGAACCACCGUUCUCACAUCGGUCACCAUGGGUUAGUUUUGUCAGUUCCUGAGCUUCAUAUAAAUUAAAUCAUACGGUGUGCGCUCUUUUGUGUCUCAACGUUAUGCCUGUGAGAGUCAGCCAUGCUGUUACGUAUAACAGUAGCUUGUUCUUUCUUAUCACUAUACAGCAUUCCUGUGUAUGAACAUACUUCAAUUAUUUAUAUAAUCUACAGUUGAUGGACAUUUGCAUGGUUCCCACUUUGAAUCUAUUAUGAAAAAAAGCUGCUAUGGACAUUCCCGUCGAUGGCUUUUUGUGGUGGACAGACACAAGGCUCAUUUCUCCCAGUACGCGGGUCCCUCACUGCCGCGGCCUCUCCCGCCGCAGAGCACAGGCUCCGGACGCGCAGGCUCAGCGGCCACAGCUCACGGGCCCAGCCCCUCCGCGGCAUGUGGGAUCUUUCCGGACCGGGGCGCGAACCCGCGUCCCCUGCACCGGCAGGCGGACCCCCAACCACUGCGCCACCAGGGAGGCCCCCACAAAUUACUUCUUAAUUGCUAAGUGACAGCUGUAGCUUUUCAGUGGAAAGAUCUGGCUGACACCAACUGAACCAGGUGAUCAAACUUAGUAGCACCCACAAUGAGACUCAAGUCCAUAAUGGGUCUCUGCUGUGACACAUGAGAAGCACCCCAUGUGCUUCACCUGUGCGGUAUCCUUGCCAAAAACAUCUCCCCUGCCUCUAAUCAUGGGAAAGAAAUCAGACAAAUCCACAUCACAGGCAUUCCACAAAAAUAACUUUGGAUGCUGCAAAAAGGUUUGUCUCAAAAGACAGAAAUGGGGAGAGGGGGGUUUUCUAGAUUUAAGGAAACGAAAGAGACACUUUUAAGAGUGGAAACAUUUUUUCCACUCUUUGCAUGUAGGAAAGCCUCCUCGUCUUUCCCAUGUGCAAUGUGGUUCCACAGACAAUAUUGUAUCGCAUAUGGAACGCCUCCAAAGAAGGAAAAUGAGGUCCCACCCCUAAGGGAGUCCAUCAAAAUCGAUGUUUGGGGCUCUGUAGAAAAAGCCAGUCUUUCCCCUGAUCUGGAAAUUCAGGAACCUCCUUCCACUGGGGACUGUACUCCACUCCUUUCCUGCUGAGAAUCAGUGAAUUAGCUAAGGCUUUUCCAUUAACAUAAGUGAUACUCUUAAUACUUGUUGCCCAAAGAGCUGGACUUCUGGGGAUUUGGGGGUUUUUUUUCCCCACCUUUAUGGCUGAACAGUACAAACUAAAGAAAACCCAGGGUACUAUUGCCCUGUGGCCAAACGAGAGCAUGUAAGUAAUCUUGGAGUUUACCUGUGAAACCUGAGUGGAGGAUUUAGGAUAGACGUCAGUUGUCCCCUUUACACCAGCUCAGAGCUUCAUCACAUGCUUCCUUCCUUCCUUCAUUCUUCCCUUUGGCCUCAUUUGUCACCAUACCUUCCAUGCCCUGUGUGGCUGGAUUUUCUCCACAUCCUAAGCACAGUUGCUAUUUAAAGCAUUCACAUUAUUUCCUUUUGAGAAUGAUUUUGGUCUGGUGGUGGCUCUUGUUGUUUUUUUCUAGCAAUAAAUUAUCUCACUUCAGCAAUUUCCGGUGUUUUCAUUCCCCAAUCAGGGAGCUGUGCUUUGUAACUAAAACAAAACAAAGAUACAAGAAACUCUUCUCAUUCACUCAUACCUCUCGUAUUCAUUGUAUAAUUUUUUUUAAUUACAAACUUUUUUUCCCCCUCAAUCAUACAUAACUGAUUUCUCAGCGUUUACUUGAAAGCAGGACAAUAGUGAUUGUGACCUCUAGGACCUCCCAAAGCCACCUAUGGCCAUGGCUUGGGGCCAGGUGGGAAGGACAGGAAAGAAGCCCCAGGGCCAGGGGCAGGAUUGGCUGGGAUACUGGAACCAGCUGGGGAACAAGGACAGAUGCUUCUUGGGACUCAAGGGAGAGUCUUUUCAAGGGUAAGUCCUGGCGGGAGUCCGAGAGGGAGAAAUAUGAUAGUAAGAAGUGGAAAACCCUAAAAUAAUGGCUGGCCCUCUCAUUCUUACUUGAAGGAAUUCCAAAGAGGAGCAAAGGAACACAUCUUUUCUUUUUCUUUUAUUCUAUCUGCGGAGUUCCUGCAGGAUGACUGCGUCUUCUUUUUUUCUUCCUACAAAGCUUUGUCAACCUCAGUUCUGAACAAAUAUCGUCUGACAUAUUAGCACAUCAGUAGCUUAGAAAAAUAUAAUUAAAGGUAACAUGUACUAGAACUGAAUGAUACAGAUACCCUAGUCAUUCACUUUUAAUUACAUUUGGAUGGAUCUUUUGUUGCCAUGGAAACUCUCUAUGCUUAGGAAAUUUGAGAGGCAGGGAUCUCCUCCAAAUUUCACAGUUCUGUAUCUUAGAGAAAUUUCUCGUUCUAUUUAUGAGUUUAGAAGAUAUUCUGCAACUUUCCAUUAGGAUAAAAGGCAAACUUAUCUAUUGUCAGUUGCUCAGAGCAGUUAACUUAAAAGGCAUUGUUUGCUUUUCAUUGUUACAAAUUUCAUUGCUGCAAACAUUGCUAUAAAUUCUAUAUGGAACUAUUUUCUUUAUUGUCUGUAGGUUGGUUGAUUCAUUAAACUUGUAUGUCCAAAAUGGCAGCCACUAGCCACAUUCACAUGUAGCUAUUUAAAUUUAUGUUAGAUACAAUUAAAUAUUCAAUAAAAUGGAAAUAUAAUUCUUCAGUGGUAUUGCUAGUAUUUCAAGUCCCACUAGCCACAUUUUAAGUGCUCGUAGCCUUAGGUAGUUAGUGGCUGUGUAUUAGCAUAGAUAUAGACCAUUUCAAUCAUCACAGACAUUUCUAUUCAACAGCACUACAUUAGAAUAAAAAUUGCUUGCAUCAGAUCUAUUCAAUUUUCUUUGCUCAGAAACAAGAGACUUAAAACAUAUGCAAAGCUAGUUUAUGGGUGUGCAAACUGUGUCGUCAUAAACGGCGUUGCACUUAAGGAGGACCCCAUGUAUGGCUUAAUGCUCUGUUCUCACAAUCUUGAAAUUAAUAAUUUUAAUAACUUUGACCGAGGGACUUCACAUUUAGGCACUGGACUCCUCUCAUAAGAGGUCCCGCACAUAAGAGAUGGCGCUUGGAUGUUGAGUUCUUGGUUUCCCUUCCCUUGUAACAGGUUUUUUUCAACCUCCUCUCCUAUAAUCUUUAAGACUGAGGAAAAACAUUUGGCACAUGGGAUAAAAUUUAGGUGCCUGGAAUCCUUUAGGCCAUCUCAUCAGAGACCCUCAUCAGGGAUUCAGUUUAAAGAAUGUCUGUUCCCAGGAAUUCCAGAAGCCUACAGUUGUGUCCUGGCACCUUCACUAUUAAGGGAAAAUUGAGUUCUCUUUUGAACAGGUGUUUUCUAACAAGGAUUCUCAGUUGCCCACAGUGGAAUUCCUUUCCAUUCAACAGCCUUGCCAGGGCUCAUGUUUAAGCUUUAGCCUGAUUGGUUUUAUUCACCAUUCGUUCAUUCCUUUAUUCUCACUGUCAUUCAUUCAGCAAACACGAAGCAUCUUUUAUAUACAGGACACCGUUACGGCUCUGAAUAAAAAAAUUAUAUGGCACAAACCUACUGUUACCAUCUGGUAAAUUACGUGCUGCAAUUAACCCAACAUUAAGGAUAGAUUCAGGAGGACAGUAAAAUCAAAAGCAGCCUGAGUAUCAUCAAGGGUUUAUUAGCUACUGUCCAUGUUUCCAUGGUCACAUUACAACAAGAACAAUAAAAAGAGAGUAAUGUAGCAACAAUUCUGACUGAUUCGUGUAUUGUGUUAUGAAGGGGAAAGUUUUCUUCCAAACCAAAUUUUGGUUAAUUUUUUUUUUUUAAAUAGGUACAGUGUACCUGCCAAAAAAAGAAAAAAAUAGCACAGAUAAAAGCAGUGUUAGUAAUAGCAAUACAGUAAAUACUAAAGUCAUUUUCACUUACUUUGGGAAUUCAUUGCAUGAGGUGCUUUUCUGAAAAUUCUGAUUGCUUAUUAUGUUUGAAUUAAGCUAACAUUCACAUUGAUGCUGCAUUCCGUGAGCUUACGUGAUUCAAGUGUGUACCAAAUGGCAGAGAGAAGGCAGUUAUGUGAUUAAACCGGCCAACAAAAAUUUGCAAAGCCAGAAACACUCAUACUGAGAACUGAACUGUCAUUAAAAGUAUUUUUCUCUCCUUUCUAUACCUUGGAAAAUUGUACCACAAAAUUGACUAGGAAAUAAGGGAAAACAGAAUACAAAGUAGAAAAAUUAGGAAAAAAAGGGGGGGUGAAGUUAUUAUCCACAGUGUACGCCAGAUGGUCCUGUACUUCUGAAAGCUGAGUUCUUCCUACCUGAUUCUGAGUUCAGGAUAUAAGAACAGCCAGAACCAAGUGCUUUUGGUCCUCAGCAGAAAUCACUGGGUUCUAGGGCACUGAAGUGGGAUGGAUGGUAGACUUUCAUCUCAAGGGAUUUUUCCUUAUUGGCUCCAAGUUUGACUUUCUCUAGUCCUAGUCUGGAAAACUAUACAUUCUAGUGGGAGGUGAAAAGAACAUGUGUAAUGGAAAAUAAUGGCGUGUGAGAUAAAUCUUAUUAGGAAAAGCUGAUUAUAAUCUUACCUCAGAAGACUGAGAUGCUUAAGGAAAUGAAUCGAAUUUUAAAGUUAAUUAGGGGGGCUUCCGUAGUGGCGCAAUUGUUAUGAAUCCACUUGCCAAUACAGAGGACGCGGGUUCAAGCCCUGGUGGUCCGGGAAGAUUCCACAUGCUGCAGAGCAACUAAGCCCAUGUGCCACAACUACUGAGCCUGCACUCUAGAGCCCGCAAGCCACAACUACUGAGCCUGUGUACCACAACUACUGAAGCCCACGUGCCUAGAGCCCGUGCUCUGCAACAAGAGAAGCCACCACAAUGAGAAGCCUGAGUACCACAACGAAGAGUAGCCCCCGCUUGCCGCAAUUAGAGAAAGCCCACGCUCAGCAAUGAAGACCCAACGCAGCCAAAAAUAUAAAUAAAUAAAUUUAUUUUAAAAAAUAAGUUAAUUAGGCAUUAAUAUAUUGCAUCAUUUGUUGAAAAUCCUCCUAAAAAGUAUGUGUUUAAUUUCAGAGUUAAAGUAGCAGCAAGUUUUGGAGUCCAUGUACCUGUUUCCAAGUCCCCAUUAAACAGCCCAUGAAAAUACUGAAAACUAAAAAUUGACAAAAUGCCAAAGUCAAGAUGCUAAAGCCCACACCAGGUGGAAGAAGUUAACUGCAUGCAGACCACUGGCAUGUAGACCCCAGACAGGUUGGACCCAGAAGGUGGAUGAUUGAGAUUCCCAGCACAUCACCCUGUUACCUCACCAUCAGCCAAUCAAAGAAUUGCACACAAGCUGAUCAGGCAUGUUUCCUGUAUAUGAAGAAGACUGACCCCAGAGCUGACCAAAAGUCUCUCAACGGUUGUAACCUUCAGGCUGGACUGUGCCCCUGAGCUAUUUGCUGGGUGUUUCUUGGAUCUUGCUGUAAAAAGGGUGAGACCUCACUGCAAGUCAAUUGAUCUAGCUUCCAAGUGUGUGGGCUGGGAAAGGUCAAAAGCUUCAUUUCAGAGGAAACACUGUCUUCUAAGGCAUUCAUUCAUUCAUUCUUUCAUGUGUGUGUGUAAGAGAGAAGGAGAGAAGCAAAAAUGUUUGUUUACAACAAUAAAACAAACAGUAUGUCAAACGGUGAUACGUUCUAUGGAGAAGAACGAAACAAGGAAAGGUGACAGAGAGUGCUAGGCUGCGGAUGGGGAAACAUCAAGUAGACUAUCUUUUGAUGUGUUUGAAAUAUCUACUGAUAAUCUGAAAUUCGAUACACCUUUGCCUCAUGUGGUGGGUAAAUUCCUUUCUUAACAUUCAACGUUAUAAGAAGCAAGAUCAUUGCACUAGGAAAAGUAGUUGGCUGUCUGAUCCCCACUUCAGGGAGGAAAGGGGAAAAAGUCAUUUAUUGAAGACUCAGCUUUGCUAGGGUUUGAAAUUGUUAGCGCUGUUACAGGGGCAAUUUAUCCAGGCCAUGAACUUCUUUAUGUGCACCUUUGAUAUAACACACUGGGCCAAGUGAAAGUAAUACCUUGGUUCACCCAGAAAAUCAGGAAACAGAACACAGAAGUUGACUGAUGUUGGCCAUUUGGAGAUAGACCAGCCGCAAUGACGUAGACAUUUUCUUAUCAGGUCCAGAAACCCAUGUGAGCCAGGAAACUAUCCUUUCACACUCCCUCCGCUCUAUUAGGCUUCUUCCAGUGCCAGACAGAAGGACCCAGUGCUUCAGAAGUUCCGAUCAGAAUGCUCAGAUGACCACAAUGAAAAUACUCCUGUGUGCCUGCCAAGGCCCACCCAGCAGUGCUAAGCUCUGCAAGGAAGCAGGACCCGGGGACAGGCUGUGAGUUUGAUGCAGACUCUGAAGACGCUGAAAAUCGUAAGAAAUGAUCUUCUUGAAAAUGUACUGGAUUUUGCCAAUUACACUGGAUUGUUCACAAAACCAUUUUGAGGAGCACUGUGCAGAGGCAGGGACACACCAUAAACAUCUAACCACCAGCUGGCCGGCCCUGGGCUAUGAGCGCAGCUGUCGGUGUCAGCUGAAACAAAACCCAAACUUGCAUCUCUCAGAGGGUGGGAAGAUGCUCUGACCUACUCUCCCAUCCAAAAACCCCAGGUGAUGUGCUGAAUGGGGGUGGAAGUGGGAUUGGAGAAGGGCUGCAGAAACCGCGAUGGUGUUCCUGGGGGCACUUUUCAGCAGGAUGGAGGAGAACUGGUUCUUACCGUCUAUAGGGUGCUGGUUGAAGGUUUGGUUCCUACGUCCCUUCCCUGCAGCUGCACGGGCCUCUUGUCCACCUCCUGUGUCAGCCUUGGAGCCGACAUGUCUCCACAGUGUGAGGGCAGGAGCAUGGGUUUCCCAGGCCUGGGACGCAGUCCAGAAGUUAACACCAGUAAGGUCAGGAUUUCCUGCAGCCUCUGCAAUCAAGUUUCCUCAGGUCAGCUGGUUGCACAGAGCGGCCUCCGGAGCCCUCCAAGUAACAUCAUGGGCCCCGCUGUUCUCCUACAAGUUGCUGCCCUUUCCCACACUCCAGGCAGGAAAAAAUCUUUUUAUCCCUAGCUUCGUGCCAGCCCUCAUUUCUGCUCAUCUUGACUCCAAAUUUGAAUCCCAGUUACCUCAAACUGUUCUCAAGAUUUUUAAAGAUGUAGAUCAAGAAAGUCACCCCUUCAGUCCACCCACUGAACAGUUGGGAUGUGACCUGGUGCCUGUGUUGACCGUUCGGGCUACAUUUGCCCUGCUUGGGAGCAGUAAUAACUGCAGUCCUCUUCUUGAACUUGUGCCAAGACAUACUGUAUUUAAGAAGAGUGGAAAUUUCCCCAUGGCAUUUGCUUUCUGAUGUUUUAAAUAUUUGCUUAUUUUUCCCACAGGAAACUUUAUACUUAGUGUACAUUCCUAAAUCGAUUGUUUUUUAUUUUUUUUCCUCCCUGCGUUUCCCUCUUUAGCAAAUCGUUGGGCAGCUCAUCAUGGACGUUUCUGCCAAUGUGACACCUCACAGCAGCUCGAGACAUUCUCCUUUGUGCCGCGUGCUUUGAUCCCUGGCAGCCGGUUUUCUUAUUUGCUCGGUAAAUCUCAGCCGUUGCCUUGUUCAGGACUCCUCUUCCCGUGUAAGAAGCAUCUCCGAAAGCCGAUCAGACCCCAUUAUGUUUUCAUUUCUCCUAGGCUCAGACUCAUGGUUUGCUCCUGAAAACAGCUCCAAGGGCUCCCUGUGGGGCUGGCCAUGGGACGCGAGCCCCAUCAAACUCUCCAAGUCAGUAACAGCUUGCUUCCUGGUUAUAUGUAAAGCACCCCGGCAAAAGGAAAUAGAGACUCGAUAAAGAUAAAUUAGAAGUGGCUGGUCACAGAGAAAAAUUUCCAGUUAGAACACUCUGGGGGAUGGACCAUUUUACAGGAUUUCUUCUUUAUUUUGAGGGGAGGAAAAGCCCAGUCAAAAAAUAUAAUCAGCUCGGGACUUCCCUGGUGGUCCAGUGGUUAAGACUCCACAUACCCAAUGCAGGAGGCACGGGUUCAAUCCCUGACUGGGGAACUAAGAUCCCAGUAUAUAUAUAAUCAACUAAUUUAUAUCUGGCCUGUCAGCCAUCAGAAUAUGCCAGGGAAACACAGGCUGCAAUUCUUGGCUUCACAAUGUCGUUAGGGGCAGCCCUAUGAGGCAGAAAGUGGUGCAAAAUGUCUGCAGGACGGAUAACCAGUACAGAGGGUGGUGUCAGGGAAGCCCUUUGUUUUGGGGAGCCUAAGCCUGGGGGGUGGGGAGGGAGGUGGAGAGACAUCCUCCAAUCUUGGAGACUCUGUCAACAGACUUGGCUGCAGAUCCGGGAGCUUUUGCUGGACCAGGUGGAGACGUUGUGGUCAGCAUCUCUUUCCUUCCCAGGCUUGUCUGUUUCUAUGUAAGAUCAGAGUGGGACUCCAGGUUAGAAGGUGGGAGAUUUCAGUGCUCCGGAAGCACUUUUCAUGGCCAGAUCUAAACUGAGACUCAACUGAAUUCUGUGAGUACCUUUGGAGAAUCUGCUCUACAUAAGCCACCGCGCUAACCACGGCUGUGUCACGACUACACGGCUCGGAAGACCCUGACAACCUAGUCUCUAAGCACAGCCACCCCAGGCUCGUGCUGUCCAAAACCUCAACAGCCACCCGUGGUGCACGCUGGACGCUGCAGUUGUGUUGGAGCCUUGGGAGGAUUCUCCCCACCUUCAGAGAGCUUGUAGCCUGGGGGAUGAAAAGAUUGCUACAGAAACCGCUGUGGAAAAGCAAGCUCAGUGGAAAAAUGGGGGUAACCAAAAAUGAAUUCAGAGCGAACUCAAGAUAUAAGACGCGGGCAAAGGAGGAGGGACAGAGGGGAGAAGAGGAGGCUGGAUUAUCUUGUGGGAGCCUCCCAUGCCUCGUCUUAAAUUGCUAGGUCAUCAAGGAUUGUGCUUUAGGAGAUAACACUGAGAAAAACUGGCCAGGAGACUGGAAGCCAAGUAGAAACACACUUCAUACUGUCAAGGUAAAAGAUAAGGGGGCCUGAACUUGUAUGAUAACAGUCAAAAGGAGAAAAGGCACUGAAUUGGGAGAUGUUUUGAGGCUUAUAAAAAUUUAUUUUGACUCACCGUGAAGUUAAAAGUGAGAAAAUUAAUAAGAAACAAAAUACUGAUGAACCCCAACUUUACUAACAAGAAACAACAUAGUUCAAGAUUUAUAUUGAAACUGCCUUUUGUGUAGGUAACAAAAUGGUCAACAAUCAGUAAUUUCAUGAAAUUCAAAUUUACUUUAUAAUAGGUCCCCCUAAAUAUCCCACUGCAGGAAAAGUAUAACCCCAAACAAAAUAACAUUAAAAGGAAUAAAAAUUAACUGUGAAUACAAGAGAGCACGAAGUCAUUUAUUUAGCAGUGGGACAGGUGAGGGCAGGUUUUAAAGAGAAGACCCAGUUCUUAAGGAGAUUGCCUGUCAGAGAAUUUCCCCAUGGCUUUCAGCCUAGGGCAAAAUUCCAGAGAAAAGUGGUUUAGGUCAGUGAAAGCCCAAUACUUGUUUUGGAAUUAAAGAAGGGUAUUGUAACUAACUUCAAUGUACAAUCUCCUAUACACCACCCUUUGGGGCUUUUCUUAACAGGAGAUUUGAUCCAGAGUUACCAGCAGAGAUUAAAAAUACCUGCAAUGAAACCUUCCCUGAGUCCAUUUUCUGCCUGUGCUCCCUUCACCAUAAUACUUACUGAAGACAGAGUUUAGGAACAAACAGAAAACUUAACACUGCUACGCCAAACGUUAAGCAAACCUUCCAUUACAUGAGGAUGUCAUUAGGUCACCUAGUAAAUGUUAACGCCUACCCAAGGGUGAACACUGUGAAUCUCAGUCAGAAUGCUGCAGCUUGUAGAACUUCCAUAAUUUUCACCUCUAAAUUCUGACCCACAUCAAUGUGCUUCCAAGCCUUUGUUCCCACUGAUUCCUUUUCCUCCCCAAUUCUUUGCUAUUUAAGGAAUGCUAACUCAUCCUUCAAGCCUUGACCCACCCUAGCCUCACCCGCUCCCUAGGACCUUGCAACUUUCAGUUCAUGCUUUUAUUUCCAUUGUAUUCAGUUUGCUUGUCUCCCAAUCUUAGUUUGGUUUUCACUCCUAGAUUCAAUCAAGAAAUGUAAGCCCAAAACUACAUGCUUUUUGUAUUGACCAGUAAAACAAAGGAAAAUAAAUUUCAAGAUUGUAUGC
Molecule: long non-coding RNA, 14531 nt
Organism: Orcinus orca (killer whale)
Lineage: Eukaryota; Metazoa; Chordata; Mammalia; Artiodactyla; Delphinidae
Exons: 4
Source: RefSeq, a predicted model, not a curated record